GGCUGGUCUAAGGCAGUGAUGUUUACAACUAAUUGAUCACAACCAGUUACAGAUUCCUUUGUUCCUUCUCCACUCCCACUGCUUCACUUGACUAGCCUUUA
This is an unclassified non-coding RNA of Gorilla gorilla gorilla (western lowland gorilla), 101 nucleotides long. It matches the Rfam family "Y RNA". From Rfam's summary of the family: Y RNAs are components of the Ro ribonucleoprotein particle (Ro RNP), in association with Ro60 and La proteins. The Y RNAs and Ro60 and La proteins are well conserved, but the function of the Ro RNP is not known. In humans the RNA component can be one of four small RNAs -- hY1, hY3, hY4 and hY5. Lineage: Eukaryota; Metazoa; Chordata; Mammalia; Primates; Hominidae. The record is from Ensembl.